GGCGGCGGUGCCGUCGCUGAAGCACGACGGAGUUACCGUGCCGGAGUUUCAAAAUUGGCCGAAUAGGCCCUGGGUCUGAUUUGGAUUUUUUUGGGGACAUGCGCAGGUACCGGAAGUGUGUUUUAGUUUCCGAAAAAAAAUUUAGGGAAUCUAAGGACUGCCCGUAGGCGCAGUGAGAACCCGAUUUCAGACUCAAAACAAGUAAAGAUCCCUCACCCUAUUUCUUAUCACGACAUUAAAGCUUAAUAAAUGAUAAAACGGUAUUUUAUGAAUUAAUAGAUAUGUAUAAUU
This 291-nucleotide long non-coding RNA is filed under the name Carica papaya (papaya). RNAcentral's name for it is "long non-coding RNA (CPAP_LNC010482)". Lineage: Eukaryota; Viridiplantae; Streptophyta; Magnoliopsida; Brassicales; Caricaceae. The record is from RNAcentral.